GACGAACGCUGGCGGCGUGCUUAGCACAUGCAAGUCGAACGGAAAGGCCCUGCUUUUGUGGGGUGCUCGAGUGGCGAACGGGUGAGUAACACGUGAGUAACCUGCCCUUGACUUUGGGAUAACUUCAGGAAACUGGGGCUAAUACCGGAUAGGAGCUCCUGCUGCAUGGUGGGGGUUGGAAGUUUCGGCGGUUGGGGAUGGACUCGCGGCUUAUCAGCUUGUUGGUGGGGGAGUGGCUUACCAAGGCUUUGACGGGUAGCCGGCCUGAGAGGGUGACCGGCCACAUUGGGACUGAGAUACGGCCCAGACUCCUACGGGAGGCAGCAGUGGGGAAUAUUGCACAAUGGGCGGAAGCCUGAUGCAGCAACGCCGCGUGCGGGAUGACGGCCUUCGGGCUGUAAACCGCUUUCGCCUGUGACGAAGCGUGAGUGACGGUAAUGGGUAAAGAAGCACCGGCUAACUACGUG
This 467-nucleotide ribosomal RNA is filed under the name uncultured bacterium. RNAcentral describes it as "partial 16S ribosomal RNA". It matches the Rfam family "Bacterial small subunit ribosomal RNA", at positions 28 to 507 of the family's 1533-position model. The record is from RNAcentral.